RNAcentral lists this ribosomal RNA (878 nucleotides) under Mycobacterium sp. P5. RNAcentral describes it as "bacterial SSU rRNA". It matches the Rfam family "Bacterial small subunit ribosomal RNA", at positions 54 to 947 of the family's 1533-position model. The record is from RNAcentral. Lineage: Bacteria; Bacillati; Actinomycetota; Actinomycetes; Mycobacteriales; Mycobacteriaceae.
CAUGCAAGUCGAACGGAAAGGCCCUUCGGGGUGCUCGAGUGGCGAACGGGUGAGUAACACGUGGGUGAUCUGCCCUGCACUUUGGGAUAAGCCUGGGAAACUGGGUCUAAUACCGAAUAGGACCACGGCAUUCAUGUGCUGUGGUGGAAAGCUUUUGCGGUGUGGGAUGGGCCCGCGGCCUAUCAGCUUGUUGGUGGGGUAAUGGCCUACCAAGGCGACGACGGGUAGCCGGCCUGAGAGGGUGACCGGCCACACUGGGACUGAGAUACGGCCCAGACUCCUACGGGAGGCAGCAGUGGGGAAUAUUGCACAAUGGGCGCAAGCCUGAUGCAGCGACGCCGCGUGAGGGAUGACGGCCUUCGGGUUGUAAACCUCUUUCAGUACCGACGAAGCGCGAGUGACGGUAGGUACAGAAGAAGGACCGGCCAACUACGUGCCAGCAGCCGCGGUAAUACGUAGGGUCCGAGCGUUGUCCGGAAUUACUGGGCGUAAAGAGCUCGUAGGUGGUUUGUCGCGUUGUUCGUGAAAACUCACAGCUUAACUGUGGGCGUGCGGGCGAUACGGGCAGACUGGAGUACUGCAGGGGAGACUGGAAUUCCUGGUGUAGCGGUGGAAUGCGCAGAUAUCAGGAGGAACACCGGUGGCGAAGGCGGGUCUCUGGGCAGUAACUGACGCUGAGGAGCGAAAGCGUGGGGAGCGAACAGGAUUAGAUACCCUGGUAGUCCACGCCGUAAACGGUGGGUACUAGGUGUGGGUUUCCUUCCUUGGGAUCCGUGCCGUAGCUAACGCAUUAAGUACCCCGCCUGGGGAGUACGGCCGCAAGGCUAAAACUCAAAGGAAUUGACGGGGGCCCGCACAAGCGGCGGAGCAUGUGGAUU